RNAcentral lists this ribosomal RNA (397 nucleotides) under uncultured bacterium. RNAcentral's name for it is "partial 16S ribosomal RNA". It matches the Rfam family "Bacterial small subunit ribosomal RNA", at positions 523 to 918 of the family's 1533-position model. The record is from RNAcentral.
AUACGUAGGGGGCGAGCGUUGUCCGGAAUGAUUGGGCGUAAAGGGCGCGUAGGCGGCGCGGUAAGUCUGGAGUGAAAGUCCUGCUUUCAAGGUGGGAAUUGCUUUGGAUACUGCCGCGCUUGAGUGCAGGAGGGGUUAUCGGAAUUCCCGGUGUAGCGGUGAAAUGCGUAGAGAUCGGGAGGAACACCAGUGGCGAAGGCGGGUAACUGGACUGCAACUGACGCUGAGGCGCGAAAGUGUGGGGAGCAAACAGGAUUAGAUACCCUGGUAGUCCACACUGUAAACGAUGAAUGCUAGGUGUAAGAGGUAUCGACCCCUUUUGUGCCGGAGUCAACACAAUAAGCAUUCCGCCUGGGGAGUACGGCCGCAAGGUUGAAACUCAAAUGAAUUGGCGGGG